GUCCUAUUGUAUUCUUUAAUAGGUCUGGCCUGCCCAGUGAUAAUUUUAACGGCCGCGGUAUAUUGACCGUGCAAAGGUAGCAUAAUCAUUAGUCUUUUAAUAGAAGGCUGGAAUGAAAGGUUUAACGAGAAAUUAACUGUCUCAAUUACAUACUUGAAUUUAUCUUUUGAGUCAAAAGACUUAAAUAUAAUUGGUGGACGAGAAGACCCUAUAGAGCUUUACAAUUUUAUUUCUAUAUUUAUAUAGUAAUAUUAUUUAUUUAUAUUUAUAAAAUUGUUUUGUUGGGGUGACAAUAAAUAUAUAUUUAACUUUUAUCAUAAUAUAAACAUUAAUUUAUGAUUUUUGGAUCCAAAAAUUUUGAUCAAUAGAUUAAGUUACCUUAGGGAUAACAGCGUAAUCUUCCCUCAGAGUUCAUAUUUACGGGAAGGGUUGCGACCUCGAUGUUGGAUUAAGAUAAUAAUUAGGUGCAGUAGCUUAAUUAAUAGGUCUGUUCGACCUUUAAAUUCUU
This 508-nucleotide ribosomal RNA is filed under the name Ischnura asiatica. Its description in RNAcentral is "partial 16S ribosomal RNA". It matches the Rfam family "Bacterial large subunit ribosomal RNA", at positions 1819 to 2597 of the family's 2925-position model. The record is from RNAcentral. Lineage: Eukaryota; Metazoa; Arthropoda; Insecta; Odonata; Coenagrionidae.